AUGCAUUCUGCUCCAGAUGUUUAUUUUCAAUCCUACCGAGUGGAGCAAAAGUAUGGUGAUGGAGCUCCCAAUAAUGAUGCUCACAACAGAGUUUACAUGAACCUGCCCAAAAAGCAUCAUGUGCUUAGAAAAGUUACUGAUUGCCGCCAUUGUGGAGCUUUGCGAUUUCAAUACGAGGGGCCUGCAUUCUGCUGCAGAAAGGGAAAAGUGGAUGUAUUUACUCCAGAUGUUUGUGAGGAGUUGAAACGGUUGUUUACAAGUCAAGAUGAUGGGGAUGCUAGAUAUUUCAGAGAAAAUAUACGGUAUUUCAACUCCCACUUCUCAUUCACAAGUCUGGGAGUCACCCUUGAUCGCCGAGUCAGCACCGCAGCAGGAACCGACGUAUAUACAUUUCGUGCGUGUGGAGGGUUGUACCACGCUCUUGAUGAUCUCGAGUCUGGUGAUAAUGGCCCUCGACAUUUGCAGCUAUAUAUUUAUGAUACAGAUGAAAACUUGUUUCACAGGGUUAAGAGGUCUCCAAAUCUUAGGUUAGAUCUCAUACGGAAGAUUCUGGCAAUACUAGAGCAUAACCCUUAUGCUCAAGUAUUUAAAAGCCUUGGUGUUGUUCCAAAUCUAGAUGAAUACAGGAUCUCAUUAAAUACCGAUAUCAAGCUUGAUCAAUGA
RNAcentral lists this ribosomal RNA (663 nucleotides) under Triticum aestivum (bread wheat). Its description in RNAcentral is "partial small subunit ribosomal RNA". The record is from RNAcentral. Lineage: Eukaryota; Viridiplantae; Streptophyta; Magnoliopsida; Poales; Poaceae.